AUCGUCACCCCCUCCCACCCUUCCUGAAUCACACAAACCGUCGCACCCCAUGGACGCGCCGCCAUCAGUCCAUCAUGUUAGAAUCCCCCUUUCCUGGGCUCAAAGCCAGCCGUGCAUCUCUCUAUCCUCCACCUCCUCCACCUCCUCCACCUCCUCCACCUCCUCCACCCAGACUCAAAAAUGCUUUGCUAAAGCUGGUAAAAUGGAACCAAAUCAACUGUUCAAUGGAUUUGGUCCCCUUCAACCAGCUGUAGCUGCGCAUUGAUCACCCCAGAUGUACCAUCGGGUCGGAACCGGCCGACACAGCGAGAACUCACUGGCCCGCAGAAACAGUUGAGCUGAUCAGACGCGCUGGUCCACUGCACA
Molecule: long non-coding RNA, 366 nt
Organism: Sardina pilchardus (European sardine)
Lineage: Eukaryota; Metazoa; Chordata; Actinopteri; Clupeiformes; Clupeidae
Exons: 2
Source: RefSeq, a predicted model, not a curated record